UGAGCUGAGAGUUUGAUCCUGGCUCAGGACGAACGCUGGCGGCGUGCUUAACACAUGCAAGUUGUACGCUGUAUUUUUC
Molecule: ribosomal RNA, 79 nt
Filed under: Synergistaceae bacterium
Lineage: Bacteria; Thermotogati; Synergistota; Synergistia; Synergistales; Synergistaceae
Description: partial 16S ribosomal RNA
Rfam family: Bacterial small subunit ribosomal RNA
Source: RNAcentral